AUCGCGAUCGUAGAUCGAUCUUUGUAAGGCUUGAUUGACCUCAGAUCA
Molecule: ribosomal RNA, 48 nt
Filed under: Pisolithus aurantioscabrosus
Lineage: Eukaryota; Fungi; Basidiomycota; Agaricomycetes; Boletales; Pisolithaceae
Description: partial 28S ribosomal RNA
Source: RNAcentral